CCAGCGCACAGCCCCGCCCCUUGCUGCUCACCCUGGCGAUAUUUUAUCUUGCAUGACACAGGCGUUGCUCGGCUCGAGCUGAGGUGGGGCAGCGGCCGUCCGCCUGCUGAUCGGCAGUCACAUGACCCACCAUACGUCAACGAAGGGUGUUUGAGCUGCUCAGCCGCUAUUGGUGACAGCAAAUGUCAAUCAUUGAGUAUAACCACGAGCGCAGGCAUACCUGGCGAGUGGGCGUUACCGCCCCCCAUGCAGACCCCGCCUCCCGCUCACUCCCCACACUUGCGUUCAAACUCGAACAAACUUCAGAGCAAAUGUCCCGCUUUUUUAAAAAAAUAUUUCCAGUUCCCUCCGAGGCAAGUUCAGACCGUUGGUGAAGCGGUUUCUCCACGGAUGCGUGAAGCGUCUUCUUGCUUCCGGAGCUGAUCUGCGGUGAGAGACUGAUUGAAGAAAGCCCAGAAUUGGAAGUAAACAGUAGCUGAAGACUCGGAGGCACCAACAAGUGAACCAGCCCCAGGACUCAGAGCGUCAACUAUAGAGAAACCUUCAACGUUUCCAUCAAGUCAGCCAGGGGAAAGUAUGUACUGCAGUGAGAGACAGAUAGGAAAAAAUCUCACAGCUGGAAGUCAACAGCAGCUGAAGACUCGGGAACAGCAACAAGUGAAGCAGCCCGAGAACUGAGAGAAGCAACUGGAGCGAACCCUUCUGAUCAGAGUUUCCAUCAAUUGAGAGAAAGCUUGAGCACCAGAAUCUAACACCUGUCCCUAAAAUGGCUGAAGGAGCGGGCAGGGGAGGCGUUCCAGUGAGCUCAACAGGAAAGUGCACGGGUCCGGACUCGGAGAUCACCGAGCUCCUGGCAGAUUGGAACGAUUUCAAGCUGCUGCAGUUGACGGACUUCUACCGGGACAGGCUGCAACAGGCGAUGGAAGGAGGGGUGCACGGAGUCAACUUGGCGUUAACGUACGAGAAUCAGCUCAGUAGUCGGGAACAUCGGAAAGUUACCGAGCUCGCUGAUAAGGGAGAGCGGGCGGACAGUUCCAAACUCCUCCUGAACCUGGUGACGGAGAAAGGCCCCCGGGCCCGGAGGUUGAUGUGGGAAACUUUUGUGAAAAUGCGGAAUGGGGUCCCAAAGUUGGACAAAAUACUGAAAGAAAUACAGGAAUAUGGUUGUGUUCCGUACGUACGAUCGGGCAAACUUCGCUCAAGGUUUACGGGAGGUGCCCAGUGAGCUGAAAGAUGUUCAACAGAAACACAAGGAGACUCUGCGGGCACAGAGUGAAACACUGAGAGUGAACACGAUCCUGAUGAGGGAGAAGGUGAAGGUUUUCCAGCUGGUUGACCUAUACGCUGAGCUCACGGUAAUUUCUACUGUUCUAGAUCGGAGACUUGUUGUACAUGAGCUGCGGGCAAGAGGCCUAGAACAUGAGGAGUGAAGAAAGAAACAUCUCCGGGGAGAGUUGGAAAAAAUCCGGACUGAUCAAUUGUACAAAAGCUGCUUUUCCCGGAGUAAAUCCAAAUCUGGGUGUUCAGCAGCAGUGGCCGGAGUCCCGGGGAUCGGGUAAACAACAAUGGUGCAAAAGAUUGUUUAUGACUGGGACACAGGGAAAAUAUACCAACACCUCCAGUUUGUCUUCAGUUUCAAAUUCCGGGAUUUAAACUCCAUUAAAUGCAGAAUAAACCUGAGGGAACUGAUUCUGGAUCAGUAUCCUUACUGUGGGAAUAUUCUGGGCGAGGUCUGGGAUUGCUGUUUAUAUUUGAUGGUUUGGAUGAAUUAAAGCACAGAAUCGAUUUUUCUGACAGUCGGAGAGACACAGAACCUCAGCAUAUGUGUCUAGAUCCCAAGUGGUGGUGUGAAGUGUCUGAAACUGUGUACAGUUUAAUCCAGCACAAGCUGCUCCCAGGGUGUUCAGUGCUGGUGACCACCCGUCCCACUGCGUUACAUUUAUUGGAAAAGGCGGAGAUCAGUGUCUGGGCUGAAAUCCUGGGAUUUGUUGGUGAGGAACGGAAGGAAUAUUUCCACAGUUUUUUGAAGAUCAGACGGUGGCAGCAGCUGUUUUCAAACACGUGGAGGAGAACGAGAUCCUGUACACCAUGAGCUACAACCCCUCCUACUGCUGGAUCCUCGGUCUGGCACUGGGUCCCUUCUUCACACAAAGACACAGGGACCUGCAGCAAUUCCCCAAGACCAUCACCCAACUAUAUUCCUACUAUAUUUACAACAUCCUGAAAAACCACAGCCGUGAGAUUGAAAGCCCCCUUGAUGUGUUACUGCGGGCGGGUCAGAUGGCCUUCACAGGAGUGUCCAAGAAGAAGAUUGUGUUUACAGAUAAAGAUUUGAUCAACUACAAUCUUCAGCCUUUCCAGUUCCUGUCCGGGUUCCUGGUGGAACAUUUGGAGAGAGAGGAUUGUGCCCGGAGCGUGGUGUACACAUUCCCACACCUCACCAUCCAAGAGUUUGUAGCCGCAAUCGCACAAUUCCUGACUCCAGAUUGCAGCGAUAUACUGAAACUCCUCACUGAAGCCCAGAGCAUGGAGGAUGGACGAUUCGAUAUAUUUCUUCGUUUUGUUGCUGGUCUUUCGUACCCAGUGUCAACUCGGGGGCUGGAGGAGUUUCUUGGUCCAUUACCCUAUCAAACAAUUUUCGAUUGAUUGACUGAGUGAAGGAGGAGGUGAAACGUUAGGUUGGAAACACAGUGAGUCUAACGGGUAAAAGGAGCCUCCUAAACACACUACACUACCUGUUUGAGUCUCAGAACCGUGGACUGGCUCAGACCGCACUGGGAUCUGUGGAAACACUUUCAUUCAAUGAAUUGCGACUGACCCCGAUUGACUGCGCCGUCCUGUCUCAUGUCAUUGCAUCUCAUGAUGCAAUAAAUCAUCUCAAUCUAGAGCGCUGCCACAUUCAAUGUGAAGGGCUCCAGCGGCUGGGACCCAAGCUGCACAAAUGACGGGUGUAGGGACUGGGGCGUAGUGACCUGGGAGAUUCGGGAGUGAAACUGGUGUCUGCGGCUCUGAGGGACCCGGAGUGUAAAAUACAGAAACUGCGGCUGGAGGGGAACCGUAUCACAGAUUUUGGUGCCAAGGAUAUCGCCUGCGCUCUCAGGACAAACCGCUCACUGACAGGGCUGGACCUGAGUUACAACAACCUGGGAGAUUCUGGAGUGAAACUGGUGUCAGCGGCACUGGCGGACCCGGAGUGUAAAAUACAGACACUGGGGCUGAGGGAUGUCAGUCUCACAGAUUCUGGUGCCGAGGAUCUCGACUCCGCUCUCAACACAAACCGCUUACUGACGGUUCUGGACCUGGAAUCAAACUCCCUCACAGACCGAUCUGUCCCCUUCCUCAGCCGCCUCAUCUUGACCCUACCGAGUCUGUAGCAGAUCGUGCUGUGGGGAAUCAGUUCAGUUCAGAUGGAUGGAAUCAGCUGGAGUCUCUGCAGGGAACAAGACCCGGACUGAUUGUGAAGCUGUGACCGUCCCAAUGUAAAGACAUCCCCGCCCGCGGAAUGGGAAUAGUUUUGACGGUUUCCGCCCUCCCCUUUAAAUGCGGGCGCUCCCGAUUUAAAUCCCAACGGCCAUAACGGUUCCCAGCUGGAGCAGAGCGCUUGCCUCCUCCGGCUGUGAAAUCAGGGGAAGUCCUGCUGACACGUGACCCGACCGCUUACGCAGAUAUCCGGGGCAGGAUGCCACCUAGUGGGGGCCUGUGUAAUUACAGAGACAGGAAGUUCCCAGGAGAGACUGGGACACCAGUGAUCGCAUUCAUUGUCACAUUCAGUGUCCCAGCUGGGGCUUAACCUGGGGCCCCAGCAAUGGCUUUGUUUCCUGGGGAGUUACUCACUCUGGGACACCAGUAAUGCCAUUGAGUGACACGGAGGAAAUUAGCCGGGUUAGGGACAUUUCUCUCCACGUUGCUGAGGGGGUAGGGGUGGUAAUUUUCCUCCAGACAACAUCCUGUGUAUAUAGCAGUGAUAAUUUGUAAAAUACCUCAAAAGAUAACCCUGGACCUGCAGCGUUCUCGGACACGGCCCUGAAGUGUGAUUAUGAUCAUACUGUUCUUAAUUUGAGUGAAGACAGAGAACAUACAGCAACUCCUGGUGCGGAAUGACGUUGAUAAAAGGGGCUGAUUGUUCAACCUGCCGCUCAAUGUCUCUUGUCUGUUAAUUGUCGCGAAUGGCAAUGAAGUGCAAGCAGCUUAUUUUACCCGCACCUCAGAAAGUUACUCAGUGUUUAGUUUAUAAUCGACAAAG
Long non-coding RNA from Pristis pectinata (smalltooth sawfish), 4243 nucleotides. RefSeq lists it as uncharacterized. The transcript has 12 exons. Lineage: Eukaryota; Metazoa; Chordata; Chondrichthyes; Rhinopristiformes; Pristidae. The record is from RefSeq and is a predicted model, not a curated record.